Momordica charantia (bitter melon) is the source of this 1224-nucleotide long non-coding RNA. RefSeq lists it as uncharacterized. The record is from RefSeq and is a predicted model, not a curated record. Lineage: Eukaryota; Viridiplantae; Streptophyta; Magnoliopsida; Cucurbitales; Cucurbitaceae.
UAAAAAAGAACGUUACCCUAGUUGCGGCUAGGUUCUUCUUCGUUCUUUCCUUCUGGCGACGAGAAGAGUGAAUAAUGAGGUUUAAGCUCUCCACCUACUAUAGUUUUCUUUGAUCGCUCUCCACCUAUUUUCUGGUUUCUUCUCCGUUCUUUCCAUCUCGCGUCGAGAAUAGUGAAUAGUGAAUAAUGAGGUUUGAGCUCUCCGCCUAUUUGCUCACUCGUUCUUGGAUUCGACAAGCUUGCUUGGCAGAAUUUGAUUUUAACAGGAUAUCUGCUUCUACUCUAAGAGAACCUUCCAGUGCUUAAGUGAUUUAGAGGCCCUCAAGAAAAGUGGUCCCAUUCCUCCGCAAUUGGACGAUAAGUUCCAGAGAUGGAUGGAUGACCCGAAGACGGAUGAGAUAUUGCGGUCCACUGCAACUGGUUUGCAAAAGAAGGAAUGAUAUCGCGAUCUAUUGGAUCCUAGUGUUGAAUUGAAGGACGAAGUAGUACAUGUUACUCACUUCCUAGUACAUCAAUGUGGAUUGGUUAAAUGUAACAGGUACUUGAUGGUCUCGUCCUGUUUACGGCGAAAAAGUUGGAGAAGUGUCUCCAUCUAUGUCGUAAGAAGUUUGCGAUAGGCGAUGUACUUCUUUCGACUCUGCUGAAUCGAACAGAUGGUCCAUAUACGGCCAUGAAGUCGGGUGUCUUGUCCACUAGGAUCAACUACCCUUGGAGCGAAGAGAAUACCAUCUUUCGAUAUGUCUACGGUUGGCAAUCGGACCACAACGUGCCCUGGAGUGAUGUAGACAUGGUGUACACCCCCAUCAAUGUAGGCGGGAACUACUGGGUGAUGCUCGGCAUCGAUCUUGUAGAAGGCGACAUAACCGUAUGGGAUUCACUCCAAACGGCCACUCCACUGGAUGCACUUGAGAAGGAUCUGAAGCCCAUGUGUACGAUCCUACCCGCGGUGCUGCAUCAUGGCGAGAUAUUUUCAGUUCGAUCCAACUUGCAAUUGGUGUCGUGGAGGGUGCGUCGGGUUCGCAUACCACAGUAGAGUAGCACAACUGAUUGUAGUAUUUUCUGUGUCCGAUUUUUCGAGCCGGGUCAAAUAUGGACACUUUGACUCAAGAUAAUAUUGUAUAUUUUAGGCAUUAGUACGCUGUACAGAUCUGGCGCGUCGUCCCUUUUUUUUAAUAUUGUAUACAUUUUCGAUACUGUUUCUAUGUCAUAAUUCAUUCUUGUAGCA